AACGAACGCUGGCGGCAGGCCUAACACAUGCAAGUCGAGCGGACCCUUCGGGGUUAGCGGCGGACGGGUGAGUAACGCGUGGGAAUAUGCCCUUCUCUACGGAAUAGUCCUGGGAAACUGGGGGUAAUACCGUAUACGCCCUUUGGGGGAAAGAUUUAUCGGGGAAGGAUUAGCCCGCGUUGGAUUAGGUAGUUGGUGGGGUAAUGGCCUACCAAGCCGACGAUCCAUAGCUGGUUUGAGAGGAUGAUCAGCCACACUGGGACUGAGACACGGCCCAGACUCCUACGGGAGGCAGCAGUGGGGAAUCGUAGACAAUGGGGGCAAUCCUGAUCUAGCCAUGCCGCGUGAGUGAUGAAGGCCUUAGGGUUGUAAAGCUCUUUCAGCUGGGAAGAUAAUGACGGUACCAGCAGAAGAAGCCCCGGCUAACUCCGUG
RNAcentral lists this ribosomal RNA (433 nucleotides) under uncultured bacterium. RNAcentral describes it as "partial 16S ribosomal RNA". It matches the Rfam family "Bacterial small subunit ribosomal RNA", at positions 29 to 507 of the family's 1533-position model. The record is from RNAcentral.